AUGCUAACCCCAACUGAUCCUGCUAUUUUAGAGUUCAAAGAUAACACAACACAAUGGCGGAGGGGGAAUUCAAAACAGAGAAACAUUUACCUAACAAAACAGCUAGCGCCACACAGGACUCUCUACAGGACUCCUCAAAAGUCUUUAAGCCUGCAAGCUGUACGGAAGAAUACCAACCACUUCCAAGAGCCACACACUUGUCGUCACUGCUCACAACUCUUUCUCCAAAGUCCCCAAAAGAAAAACGGAGGGUGACCUUUCUCGAGGACUACAUAAACAUCCAGACUUCACACAAAGACUUGUGUAUAGAUAGCACCAGUCUAGUGGAGGA
Long non-coding RNA from Sardina pilchardus (European sardine), 331 nucleotides. RefSeq lists it as uncharacterized. The record is from RefSeq and is a predicted model, not a curated record. The transcript is spliced from 3 exons. NCBI's taxonomy places the organism in Eukaryota, Metazoa, Chordata, Actinopteri, Clupeiformes, Clupeidae.